This 974-nucleotide long non-coding RNA is filed under the name Ricinus communis (castor bean). RNAcentral describes it as "long non-coding RNA (RCOM_LNC001756)". The record is from RNAcentral. Lineage: Eukaryota; Viridiplantae; Streptophyta; Magnoliopsida; Malpighiales; Euphorbiaceae.
UUGUAGAUGUGAUGUUUUUAUUUUUUGCAAUGAGAAGAAAUAUUAGUAUUAAAAAAGCCUUAAACCCAAAUCAAUACAAAUCAAGCUCACACGUCUAAAGAACAUCUGGCUAAAAGAACCAAAGGUCCAAAUAAAAUCUAAUCUUCCAAUGUACUUUAAGAUUAGACACAAGUCCAAAAUACAAAUAACAUGCCCAAAGCCUAUUCAACUAUCGGCCCACGGCCCUACACGAGAAAGGAAAUUACGGAAAUAUCUUAAAAUAUAUCGCUUCUAAAAUAAAAUCAUCUUUUCUUAUUGCCUCCUCCUCAGCCCAGUUUGUGGCCGAGAAGCAGUAAGCACAAAGAAGACAAGAGAGUUUACAACUGGACUAAUCCAUCAUACAUAGUAUCGAUCAGAUUUAAGCCACACCCAUCACAGAAAUAACAAUCCAAGAACAGGGCAGAGUUGACACAGAUCUAAUACCCUUAAUUGAUCCAACCAUAGUUGGACAGAGUUAGAUCCUCUGCCAAAUGUGAUGAGGCUCGGCAAAAAAGGAAAAUAGCUUUGCAAGGUUUCUGUCCGAGAAUGUUCAACACCAGCACCAAUAAUCUCUUCUCCCUUCCACUAAUAACCAUUAAAAGACAGCUCUCUACGAGAUUAAAGAAGAUAGGAGAGCCAAACAUAAAAAAAAGCAGCAUAUUCACCACAAAAAAUACCAAACCAACUACAACCAACGUAACACAAAUAAUUGUAAUAGACAAAAAUAAACAUAAAACCUAAUUUAUUACAAUAGAAAGAAAGGAAAAAUGGGAUUCUCUACUGAUGGUUAGAGCUUUCCUUACCGGAAAAUCUAAAAUAGGGUACAAAAAGAAGCACAAAAAGAUAUAUUUAUUAGAGAGAUAAUGAGAAUGAGGAAAAGAGAGAAAGGCUAGUAGUUUCUAAAGAAAAAUAAACACUUACUACAUGCGAUGAUGAUUUACUUGGUUGCAGUUACG